GACGAACGCUGGCGGCGUGCCUAAUACAUGCAAGUCGAACGCAGUGGGGACGGGUGAGUAACACGUGGGUAACCUCCCAUCAGAGGGGAUAACACUUGGAAACAGGUGCUAAACAGAUAUUGCUGGAUGGACCCGCUGUGCAUUAACUCGGUGGUGAGGUAACUGCUCACCACGGCCACGAUGCAUAGGCGACCUGAGAGGGUGAUCGGCCACACUGGGACGGAGACACGGCCCAGACUCCUACGGGAGGCAGCCGUAGGGAAUCUUCGGCAAUGGACGAAAGUCUGACCGAGCAAGGCCGCGUGAGUGAAGCAGGUUUUCGGAUCGUAAAACUCUGUUGUUAGAGAAGCGGUAUCUAACCAGAAAGCCACGGCUAACUACGUGCCAGCAGCCGUGGUAAUUC
This 403-nucleotide ribosomal RNA is filed under the name uncultured bacterium. RNAcentral's name for it is "partial 16S ribosomal RNA". It matches the Rfam family "Bacterial small subunit ribosomal RNA", at positions 28 to 526 of the family's 1533-position model. The record is from RNAcentral.